AUUGAACGCUGGCGGCAUGCCUUACACAUGCAAGUCGAACGGCAGCACGGGUGCUUGCACCUGGUGGCGAGUGGCGAACGGGUGAGUAAUACAUCGGAACAUGUCCUGUAGUGGGGGAUAGCCCGGCGAAAGCCGGAUUAAUACCGCAUACGAUCUACGGAUGAAAGCGGGGGACCUUCGGGCCUCGCGCUAUAGGGUUGGCCGAUGGCUGAUUAGCUAGUUGGUGGGGUAAAGGCCUACCAAGGCGACGAUCAGUAGAUGGUCUGAGAGGACGACCAGCCACACUGGGACUGAGACACGGCCCAGACUCCUACGGGAGGCAGCAGUGGGGAAUUUUGGACAAUGGGCGAAAGCCUGAUCCAGCAAUGCCGCGUGUGUGAAGAAGGCCUUCGGGUUGUAAAGCACUUUUGUCCGGAAAGAAAUCCUUGGCUCUAAUACAGUCGGGGGAUGACGGUACCGGAAGAAUAAGCUCCGGCUAACUACGUG
This 486-nucleotide ribosomal RNA is filed under the name uncultured bacterium. Its description in RNAcentral is "partial 16S ribosomal RNA". It matches the Rfam family "Bacterial small subunit ribosomal RNA", at positions 30 to 507 of the family's 1533-position model. The record is from RNAcentral.